RNAcentral lists this ribosomal RNA (226 nucleotides) under uncultured bacterium. Its description in RNAcentral is "partial 16S ribosomal RNA". It matches the Rfam family "Bacterial small subunit ribosomal RNA", at positions 524 to 748 of the family's 1533-position model. The record is from RNAcentral.
UACGGAGGGGGCUAGCGUUGUUCGGAAUUACUGGGCGUAAAGCGCACGUAGGCGGCUUUGUAAGUUAGAGGUGAAAGCCCAGGGCUCAACUCCGGAAUUGCCUUUAAGACUGCAUCGCUAGAAUUGUGGAGAGGUAAGUGGGAAUUCCGAGUGUAGAGGUGAAAUUCGUAGAUAUUCGGAAGAACACCAGUGGCGAAGGCGACUUACUGGACACAUAUUGACGCUG